RNAcentral lists this ribosomal RNA (424 nucleotides) under Salmonella enterica subsp. enterica serovar Enteritidis. Its description in RNAcentral is "bacterial LSU rRNA". It matches the Rfam family "Bacterial large subunit ribosomal RNA", at positions 1004 to 1426 of the family's 2925-position model. The record is from RNAcentral. Lineage: Bacteria; Pseudomonadati; Pseudomonadota; Gammaproteobacteria; Enterobacterales; Enterobacteriaceae.
UCCGUCGUGAAGAGGGAAACAACCCAGACCGCCAGCUAAGGUCCCAAAGUCAUGGUUAAGUGGGAAACGAUGUGGGAAGGCCCAGACAGCCAGGAUGUUGGCUUAGAAGCAGCCAUCAUUUAAAGAAAGCGUAAUAGCUCACUGGUCGAGUCGGCCUGCGCGGAAGAUGUAACGGGGCUAAACCAUGCACCGAAGCUGCGGCAGCGACGCUUAUGCGUUGUUGGGUAGGGGAGCGUUCUGUAAGCCUGCGAAGGUGGCCUGUGAGGGUUGCUGGAGGUAUCAGAAGUGCGAAUGCUGACAUAAGUAACGAUAAAGCGGGUGAAAAGCCCGCUCGCCGGAAGACCAAGGGUUCCUGUCCAACGUUAAUCGGGGCAGGGUGAGUCGACCCCUAAGGCGAGGCCGAAAGGCGUAGUCGAUGGGAAAC